RNAcentral lists this long non-coding RNA (637 nucleotides) under Homo sapiens (human). Its description in RNAcentral is "non-protein coding LINC01851:11". Lineage: Eukaryota; Metazoa; Chordata; Mammalia; Primates; Hominidae. The record is from RNAcentral.
CAGUGGACUCGGGUUAUAAUUACCAACAGAGGAGAGAAUAACUAUAAGUUAUUUUGAUGUAAAAAGCAUAUUAUCCUAAGCCAACAUAAUAACACAGUUUUUAUGAAGCACAAUAAUUACUUUGAAGACUCACAGAAGUGCAUUUUUCUAAAAGAAGGAGAUUCUCAUACAGAAACAGAUUAACAGAAACAGAAACAGCAACACUAGAGAACAGCAAAAUAGUAACAUUUCAAAUAGUAACAUUUCAAGAAAAUAUAUACACCUUCACAGUAUGUGGUGGUAUCCACUUACUGUCUACUGCCUCCAUAACUCCUAAAGUCUUCUGAAGAUUUAUUAAUGCUUUGAAUAUAUGAGCCACCGUUUCUUUUCACAGCCUUUUCACAACUGGGAAUUCUUUAGAGAAAGGCAAUCUUACCUCAUUUACUUACUUCAUCAGUAAUGCCAUUACUAUGCCUACCUAAGAAGAAAAUAUAUCAUGUGGCAGAGGACUAGAAAGAAAAAACAACAACAAAAGGCUGUGAAGAUUUGAUCAUAUGCCUACGUGUGUGGUGAAUACAAUAUUUCUUUAAUCGCAAUCAGGAAUAUAAAUCUUAUUUUGAUGCUAUGACAUAAUAAAGUGCAUUAUUUUCCUGAAAUU